This 1655-nucleotide long non-coding RNA is filed under the name Gorilla gorilla (western gorilla). RNAcentral's name for it is "long non-coding RNA NONGGOT013731". Lineage: Eukaryota; Metazoa; Chordata; Mammalia; Primates; Hominidae. The record is from RNAcentral.
GCCAGGAUGGUCUGGAUCUCCUGAGCUCAUGAUCUGCCCACCUUGGCCUCCCAAGAGAGAGAGAAAUUCAGUUUCAAUACUUGUCAUCAUUAAAUUCUAGUCUUUAAGUUUUUGCCUACAUUUUAGAUUAACCCUGCUUAUUCCUAUAAACCAGCCAUCAAUCUCUGGCUACAGCUCAGAAGGAACAAAGGGGAUGGGUAAUGUAAAAACCUGGAUCAACAUUCUAGUUCUGGGCAAUUAUUAUGCAAAUCCUGUCAGGUGAUAGGAAUAAAUAGGGUGCCCACCCAAAUCUUAGCAAGCAUAACUAUAGCCACUAGUUAUCUGGGUAUCUCAUAAGACAUCCUUUUCUCUCCCUUCUUAAAGGAGGACUCAAUUCCACAGUUUCACCUUAGCAUUUAGCUUAUGACAAAGAGUCUAUGCAACCACUCGGAGACACAUUUUUGUCCCAAUCUCAAUUCCAAUCUUUGGGUCGAUGCCCUAGGAAAGGAAACUGGAUCUGAGGGAUUCGGAGGCAGAUGAUAAUGGAGAUUAGAAGGCACAGUGUAGGUGAGCACGACUAAUUCCUGCUGAUUAAGACAAGCCUCCAGUUUCAUAGAUAAAGGUCAUCUCUCGUACCCAUGACAUAAAUGAGGUUUAGGGAACUCCAUACUCCUGACAGCAGGGCAUAUAGGGUGUACGUGGGUAAGAGCAGAUAUCCCACCCCCUAGGCCUCCCUGUUAACAUGGGUAAAAGCCACAUUGACACCCAUGGGCAGCACCCUGUUGCAGUCACCAAGACUCAGGGAUACAAGGAUGGAAGAGGUAAAGAAGAUCCUCUUCCUUCUCUCCCUCACAUACCCCGAGUAUUUUCUAGGAAGAGAAGAGAACCAGGCAUGCCUGCUCCCCUCUUUCUAGAUGAGUAGCCAUUCAUAUUCAGUCUGAACCUAUUUUGAUUGCAUUCUGAAUCCCUGGGACUCCUUGAGAAAAAAAUGCCUUCUUUUUUCCUUUUUCCUCCUCUGUCCUCUCUUCGCUGACAGGUAAUUGUGUCUCUGUAAUAUGGGACACUCACUUCAGAUGCAUCCUCCAAACUGGGAAAAGUUAAUUUUGAAAACCUUAAACUGGUUGGCUUAGGACUGGGCUCACAAAAGGUUUACCAGAAGACUGACAUGCUGGCAAAAGCAUGAAAGUUUUUUUGCCAGCUGGGCUUUUGGCCUCCGUCUCCCUGUGCAAACUGGCCAUCAAACUCCAAACCAUCACGCAACCAGACUGGAGCCUCAAACAAUAACCUUUUUUGCCAGGAACCCUUUCAUAGGCCCCUGAGGGAGAUCAGACUGCUGUUUUCUGAAAACAGUACCCUCUGUCAGCAGGAAGCGGUUAAGAUUGGUCUUCAUCCUUAUCUUUAUUCUAACGGCAGUUAGAUAUACUUCUUUAGGUGCAAAAUGAUAGAUGCAGGAGGCAGAUGAGGGAACCUGCCCAGGGCAUUGUAUGUGUAUGCCUGCAAUGGACUAGGGACCCACCGGCACACUGGAAGAGUGGGGUGGAGCCACUGGAACGUUUACACUUUGUGCAGAAGGGAGGAGCCUGGCAUCUUCAGUUCCUGUGUGGUUGCCUGGUGUUCAAGAUUCCCUCUUGCUUUGCUGAGAGUUGUUUUUCCUUUUCACCCAAUAAAUUCUGCUG